UACGGAGGAUGCAAGCGUUAUCCGGAAUUAUUGGGCGUAAAGCGUCCGCAGGUGGCACUUCAAGUCUGUCGUCAAAGACCGGGGCUUAACCCUGGAAAGGCGAUGGAAACUGAAAGGCUAGAGAGAGGUAGGGGUAGAGGGAAUUCCCGGUGUAGCGGUGAAAUGCGUAGAGAUCGGGAAGAACAUCGGUGGCGAAAGCGCUCUACUGGACCGCAACUGACACUCAGGGACGAAAGCUAGGGGAGCGAAUGGG
RNAcentral lists this ribosomal RNA (253 nucleotides) under uncultured bacterium. Its description in RNAcentral is "partial 16S ribosomal RNA". It matches the Rfam family "Bacterial small subunit ribosomal RNA", at positions 524 to 776 of the family's 1533-position model. The record is from RNAcentral.